AGCGGCGGAUGGGUGAGUAACACGUGGGGAACCUGCCCCUAAGUCUGGGAUACCAUUUGGAAACAGGUGCUAAUACCGGAUAAUAAAGCAGAUCGCAUGAUCAGCUUUUGAAAGGCGGCGUAAGCUGUCGCUAAGGGAUGGCCCCGCGGUGCAUUAGCUAGUUGGUAAGGUAACGGCUUACCAAGGCGACGAUGCAUAGCCGAGUUGAGAGACUGAUCGGCCACAUUGGGACUGAGACACGGCCCAAACUCCUACGGGAGGCAGCAGUAGGGAAUCUUCCACAAUGGACGCAAGUCUGAUGGAGCAACGCCGCGUGAGUGAAGAAGGUUUUCGGAUCGUAAAGCUCUGUUGUUGGUGAAGAAGGACAGAGGUAGUAACUGGCCUUUAUUUGACGGUAAUCAACCAGAAAGUCACGGCUAACUACGUGCCAGCAGCCGCGGUAAUACGUAGGUGGCAAGCGUUGUCCGGAUUUAUUGGGCGUAAAGCGAGCGCAGGCGGAAAAAUAAGUCUAAUGUGAAAGCCCUCGGCUUAACCGAGGAACUGCAUCGGAAACUGUUUUUCUUGAGUGCAGAAGAGGAGAGUGGAACUCCAUGUGUAGCGGUGGAAUGCGUAGAUAUAUGGAAGAACACCAGUGGCGAAAGGCGGCUCUCUGGUCUGCAACUGACGCUGAGGCUCGAAAGCAUGGGUAGCGAACAGGAUUAGAUACCCUGGUAGUCCAUGCCGUAACGAUGAGUGCUAAGUGU
This 743-nucleotide ribosomal RNA is filed under the name uncultured bacterium. RNAcentral describes it as "bacterial SSU rRNA". It matches the Rfam family "Bacterial small subunit ribosomal RNA", at positions 94 to 823 of the family's 1533-position model. The record is from RNAcentral.